RNAcentral lists this long non-coding RNA (1445 nucleotides) under Zea mays. Its description in RNAcentral is "long non-coding RNA (ZMAY_LNC005438)". The record is from RNAcentral. Lineage: Eukaryota; Viridiplantae; Streptophyta; Magnoliopsida; Poales; Poaceae.
AGGUCCCCGGUACUUCACCAAGUUGGUAUUUGGUUGACUCAUAAUGUCGCUGCUACUCGUAGCAAUACAUACAAAUAGACAAGAAGUAUAUAAAAAUAAUAGUACACCAAACAUGAGAACAAACAACGCAAGAGUAUUCUACGCGCUUCUACGAGAUAAAGUUGGAGUUACGGUUAAAAAGAUAUGAUUUUCUAAAAUUGUAGAUGAUUAAAUAAUAAAACUAUGUUUAUGUUGAUUAAUAUAAAUCAGAUGAGAAAAAUACUUCAAAUAUACAUUUAAUUCAUCUCCUCAUCUAAGUUAUAUCUUAACUAUGAGUCGGUUUAUAAUUAUUACCUUAGAGAGAUUAAUUGGCUAAACAUAGGCUAAGAGUUAUCUAAUUAUAGGAGUGUGUGACAUAAUACAUCUAAUGUUAUUACUGUAUGGACAACAUUAAUAUGAGACUAACGCGACCAGAACGAAGAAAAUCGUGGCAAAAACGAGUAAGUUAUGAAUUUCCUGAGGUUCCUAGAUUUAUUUUUAUACUAGAAUUUCUAUUUCAAAAUUGAUUCUGUGAUAUACAUUAAGCACUAGGGAUGUUAGUUCAAUAAUCCUAAAGUCUAGGGUUCACUUUGAAAAGAAAAGGACUGAACCGACACAAUUUUAUAACUGAGGUGGACUAAGGGUUUAUAUUAAGGAAGUCGGAGGUCUCUUAUGCAUAACUCCCUAGCCAAAGGGGUAUCGGCCAACCGGAUCCAUCAGAUCCACUUUCAACAGUUCAGAUUAAAAGUCCCUUAACGUUAUGAACCGGUAUUCACCAUGGACCACCGGAUCUGAGAUCCACGGCUCGCAAUACGACCGCGCGCUGAUCACACCCGAGCCCUUGGAUCAUCGAUCAACGCACACGAUUUAAUCCAUCGAAGGCUUACACUUGAUCUAAUCAUGACUGUUGGCCCAAGAUCCAACGGCCCGGAACCCAUCGACCACCUCCCGACGGCCAGGCGUGGCGACCGGAGAUCCACCGUGACGGCGCCAUUGCUGGCGACCACAGAUCACGUGCCAGAGCGUCAAGGCUUUAAUUCGACAAGUGCUAUACAAAGCGGGUAGAAAAUCGUAGGUAGUAGGCGGUUCAAUACCUGAAUUCGAGUAGUAGAGCUCCCUAUCCGCGGGAUAGGGCGGUUCGACGAAAUAAAGAUUGCUCCGAUGAGCAAUUAGCGGGUCACUGUUGGGUUUCCCCGCCUGAGAUGGCCACGGAUGAGUUCCAUGUGCACCUGCGACGCCCCCAGACCACACCACGUGACCGAACGUCGGUGAAUCGUGAGGACCACAAUAGCGGCUUCGAGUUACCUCUCGCUUUCUCUGCGCUCACACUUCGGCAAUGGUGGCUCACGACUGCAUAGGUUGGGAUGGCCAAGGGGUUCACAGAUGGUCGUAUAAAUACACUGGUGAGAGACAAAAUCCCAACAAUC